Molecule: non-coding RNA, 28 nt
Filed under: Mus musculus (house mouse)
Lineage: Eukaryota; Metazoa; Chordata; Mammalia; Rodentia; Muridae
Source: RNAcentral
UAGAUCAGGCCAGAUGGAUUGGAUUAGG